UAAUAAUAAUAAUAAUAAUAAUAAUAGCUUGUGGGAUCCUCUUCCCAGAGAGGCUCCAUAUAUUUAAGUGCCAGCCAAAAACAGUCCUCUUCAUUCCUGCAUUGCAGGGGGUUGGGCUGGGUGACCCUUCCAACUCUAAAAUUCUAAAAUUCUAGGAUUCUCCCACAACCUUUGGCUCAUUAAAUCAUCUGUUUAAAGUGGUUGGGGUUUUUUUUUGGGGGGGUGUAAUUUGUUAUUUGCUAGGGUAUGUGUUAUAUAUAUAUAUAUUGCAAAGCGCCCCAUGGUCUUGGAUGAAGGUGUAGAAAUAUAGGAAAAAAUAAUAAUUGCCCACCCUUCCCCCAUAAGGUCUCAGGGUAGGUUGCAGCAACUGAAAAGCAUAACGCUGCCACAAAAACACACAACGUUACACAAGGUGUUGUUGUUUUUUAAAAAGUUGCUUGCGAUUGUGGGAAGAAGGUGCUUCCUUAAAAUACAUAUAAAAGUAGGGGUGUGGGGAUGCAAAGGAGGGGAAGAGGAGGUCUAGGAAAGGGAAUAAAGGGUGUGUGGGGUGUUAACUGAGGGUGGGCGCUUGUGGGAAUAAUUAUUAUUAUUAUCUGCCCUUCCCUUUAAGGUCCUGGGGCUGGUUACAGCAACUAAAAGACAACACUAAGAUGAAAAACACAAUGUUGCACAAUGUUUUAAAACAACUUUGCAAUCUCAGAAAGAAGGCAUGUCCUUAUAAAUAUGUACCUCAGGUGCCAAAAGCUGGGUCAGAAGAGGUGAGGCUUCAGCAUUUACCGAAAAUUAUAUCAUUAUGAUUACUUGGUGAAUUUGUUGGCUGCUUAGGGCAACCCAAUCUGACUUACAACCAAACAGACAAGCACCACUGCUGUCCCCUGCCACAUGAGAAUCAUGUCAAAACUGAGAGGGAAAAGUAGUAGUAGUAGAAGUAGUAUGAUGAUGAUGAUGAUAAUUGUUAUUAUCACCACCCUUUUGCCUGACAGGGAACUCAAGGCAGCUUACAGAUAAAAAUAAGAACUUCUAAAGUAAAGUUGCCAGACGCCCCACGAGAGUUGCACAACUUGGGGGGAAGAGUUUCCACAGAAAAUGCUGUCUCCUGCUGUUUCCACCACCUCGAACUUCUGAGGGCAGAGGAGUAAUCAAGGGGGCACCCUCUGCCAGCCUUAGGACCCAAUAGGUCUGUAGGGAAGGGGGCAGUCUUUCAACUAUUUGAGGAGUUUAGGGCUUUAAACACUGUUUAAUGACCUGGUGUGUUUGUGUUUAUGUUUUUAAAUGUUGUAAGUUGCUUGUGGGCCUUUGGGUCCCAAACUCUAGGUAUUGGGUUUUUUGUGUGUGUUAUUGUUGUUGUUUAGUCGUGUCCGACUCUUUGUGACCCCAUGGACCAGAGCACGCCAGGCACUCCUGUCUUCCACUGCCUCCCACAGUUUGGUCAGACUCAUGUUCGUAGCUUCAAGAACACUGUCCAACCAUCUCAUCCUCUGUCGUCCCCUUCUCCUUGUGCCCUCAGUCUUUCCUAACAUCAGGGUCUUUUCCAGGGAGUCUUCUCUUCUCAUGAGGUGGCCAAAGUAUUGGAUCCUCAGCUUCAGGAUCUGUCCUUCCAGUGAGCACUUCACUUCAGAAUGGAUAGGUUUGAUCUUCUUGCAGUCCAUGGGACUCUCAAGAGUCUCCUCUAGCACCAUAAUUCAAAAGCAUCCAUUCUUUAUGGUCUAACUCUCACUUCUAUACUUUUUAAAUUUACUGGUUGCUUCUUUACUGAAGUAACUCAAAGCGACUGACAUUAUGUAAGCAAACAAACAUGUACAUUAAAGCUAACACAACACAAAAACAUCUAAAAGACCAUAUUGUUAAAAGGCAGGGUUGAAUCAUCCCACCCGCUCAAGGAGGCCGAAGGCCUGGCAAAAAAGAAAUGUUUUUCGCCUUGCACCUAAAGCUAUGUCAUGAUGGCACCAAGCAAGCAUCCCUGCGGAAAACGUUCCAUAAUGUGGGGAGCCACCAAUGAAAAGGCUCCAUUCUCAUGUUGUGCUCCAGACCUCCUAAGGAAGGGAGCACUGGAAGAAGGGCCUCAGAUGACAAUCGCAAGGUCCAGGUCAAUUCAUCUGGGGAGAGCUAUGAGAGCCUUGAGCCACAUAAGUAGUAUUAGUAUUAUCAGUGGGUUGCAUGCAACUAAGUCCUACUCAGGGUAGACCCAUUGAAAUGAAUAAACCUAAGGUAGCCAUGGCUAUUAUUUUCAAUGGGUCUACUCUGAGUAGGGCUGUCACUGGAUACAACCCAAUAACAAUACUUUAUUAAGGCAGGCAGCUGGAAAUGAGAAGUAUGUCUCUUAAGAGCAUGUGACUUUAAAGGGGGGUUCCAUUUAUGGAAGGGAGGAGGAGAUCUGGGCAAGAGUGGAUGAAGGGGGCUUGGACUGAGAGGUUACAAUUUCAUUUACUGCAAAGUAACUGCUUAAUCUUUAACUCUUCUUAGUAGUGCAUAUAAAAUUACAAAAAAACAAAAGAUGAAUCACCCAAAGCAUUUUUUUUCAGUUGAGGGUGGUAUUAUUACUGAGCUAGAUGUUGAAUAAUGGAACAGGAAGAGCAGCUGGGAGAUGGGGGGCAUUAACACAUGUGAAGGGGGUCCAUGUGGGCAGGUGGUCUGGAAAGGGACAUCAACGAUUGGAAGGGCUUGAGAUGGGAUUGUUGUUAUUAAUGGUGUUGGGAUGGUUGUGGAAUGUAAGAGGAGAUGAUUAAUGACCACAUGUAACUAGAAGAGACAGGGAGGGAUAUCUGUAUGUGGGGAUUGGAGUAGCACUGGUAAUAGGUUGAGAUGGGUGUUGAAGUGUUACUGUAUAUGAGGGUGGGGAAAGCAGGUGAGGAAAUGAACCUGAGGGGGGUGGCAUCUGAGAGAGAGAUGUGUGUGCUAUAUUCAGUUGGACUUAUUCCCAAGUAUGGUAAGUGUGUAUAGGAUCUCAGCCUUAAAGAGGAAUCCAUAUAUGGAGGAGACCAGGGUUUGGGUUGAAUAAUGUUUGGCGUUUAAAGGGCACCUAUUCUUAGUGCCACUGGUAUUGAAAUGGCAUGUGUUCCUGAAUAGGUUGGGGGUGGGUUGAAUGUUGACGGAACUGAGGCAGAAGGGAAGGCAGUGUAUGGAGGUAGAGGAGCUGAAAGUGGUUUUCUUAGUGAGAGUUUGUCAUUCCAGGCAAGCAUCCUCUCUGAUCCAGGUCUCCCAGGCCACAAUGGGUCAGGGUGUCUGGCUUUUAAACCAGAAGGUUGGUGGUUUGUGCCCACCCAGGGACAGGAUUCCUGCAUUGCAUUGGACUGGAAGGCCCUUGGGGGCCCUUCCAACUCUACAGUUCUAUGAUUAAAUGUUUGAAGGAGCAAAUUCACAUGAGGAAGGAAGUCUGGGGAAGAGAAUGGAUUGGUAGUGUUGGCUAAGAGAGGGCGGGAGCUGCAGGCUCUGCAUGCUGAAGGUCCCCAGCAUCCCCAAGGUAGGAUGGUUGAAUUGCCAGUAUCCCCAAGUGAGGCUGGGAAUGUCCCCUGCCUGAAAUUCUGGAGAGCCUCUGUCAGUGGCUGCAGGCAAAAACUGAGCAAUGGUAUGACCUAGUUGUAAGGUAGUUUCCUAGGAAAGGUGGUGGUUAAAAGGGUGUCAUGGAGUUCAUUUAUAGAGGUGUAGAGAGAUGUAUGAGAGGCUGGGUAUAGCCCUCUGGGAAGGGUGGCUCAGAUUGAAGAGGGAGUGGUGUUAAAAGAGAGCUGGAUAGAUUGAUACCUUGCAGGGCUGGGGUUAGAUGGUAGCACAUUUCGGAAUGCUGAGAAUUAAGGUAAUGUAACACUUAAACCAGCAAGUCUUUUAUGUAAGUUGCGAGAGGGCAUGAAAAAUGUACAGGAACAGAUAACUUAAGAGCAAGUGACUAGGAUCCCAGGGAGGCUGGCUUGAAAUGUACUGUCUAUUUUCUCAUUUCUCCAUUCUCCCUUUGGCGGAGGGGGAGAGGGAGUUUAUUUUCAUUUUAAGGUGGAUUUACUGCCUUUCUACUCUCUUAAAAGUCCACCAGGACGUAUUGCAUUAAUGCUGUAUCUAUUUUACAGUUUUAACAGCCAGCAGUAAAAGAUAAAGGGACCACUGACCAUUAGGUCCAGUCACGGACGACUCUGGGGUUGCGGCGCUCAUCUCAAUUUAUUGGCCAAGGGAGCCGGCGUACAGCUUCCGGGUGAACCAGAGCAGCGCACGGAAACACUGUUUACCUUCCCACCGGAGCAGCACCUAUUUAUCUACUUGCACUUUGACGUGCUUUCAAACUGCUAGGUUGGCAGGAGCAGGGACCAUAGCAACAGGAGCUCACCCCAUUGCGGGGAUUCAAACUGCCGACCUUCCAAUUGGCAAGCCCCCUAGGCUUUGUGGUUUAGACCACAGCGUCACCCGCGUCCUGACACUCAGCAGUAGUGAAGCCAAAAGAAUAGCAUUGAUGAGAGCAACCAAAUAAGACACACACAGUUGCACCGUGCUCUGCUUUGUGUGGAAUAGAAAGGCUUUCUUAACAGUGUAAUUUCACACAUUCUUGCUUAGAGGUGUGUCUCACUCAGUGUUAGAAACUAGCCAAGCACCAGGCGCGUUUUGUGACUGGCAUGAGUCCAAUUGUGACCGACCACGUGAAGGGGUCAGGAAACUUUUUCAGCAGGGGGCCGGUCCACUGUCCCUCGGACCUUGUGGGGGGCCGGACAAUAUUUUUUUGGGAAAAUGAACAAAUCCCUAUGCCCCACAAAUAACCCUGAGAUGCAUUUUAAAUACAGUAAAAGGACACAUUCUACUCAUGUAAAAACAUGCUGAUUCCCGGACUGUCCGUGGCCGGAUUUAGAAGGUGAUUGGGCCGCAUCCAGCCCCCAGGCCUUAGUUUGGGGACCACUGGACUAGACAUUCCAUUGUGGCGACCGUAACCUAGGGUUUAAGGUGCCAUUUGGUGAUUAAAGUCUGUAUUGAGUUUCUAACACUGGUCCCACUGUACUUAGUGGUGUUUGCUCUGAGGACACAGUUCAGUGGUAGAGCACAUGCUUUGUAUGUUGAGUAUCCUGGGUACAACACCUGAUCUUUCCAGGUAGGAAUAGGAAAUAUUACCAUGGAAAGCCGCUGCCAGCUGAUGUAGAAUACCUUGUAGAGCCUUAUUUUAUUUGUUAUUUCUUAAAUUUCUAUACCGCCAUUCAUCCAAGGAUCAAAGCGCAGUUAAAAGGCCAUAGGUGGUUUAAUGAAUCAAAGGCCUGGGAGAAAAGGACUAUUUUUGCCUAGCGCCUAAAGAUACGUAAUGAAGGUGCCAGGUGAGCUUCCCUAGGAAGAGCAUUCCACAAACGAGGAGCCACUGCAGCUGACGAAGGGGGCAUGUGACGAAGGGCCUCAGAUGGUGAUGACAGGGUCUGCUCCCAUCAUACCUGACCAUUGGCCAUGCUGACUAAGGUUGAUGGAAGUUGGAGUCCAGCAAGAUCUGGAGGGCCCCAGCCCUGGGGUAAACAAGUAUCAGCUGGACCUGUGGCCUGGCUCAGUGUAAGAUAGUGUCGUACCGGUAUGUUCUUAGGAUUUGUUUCAUUUUUUUUUUUUAAGAAGCUCACUGGAGUAAGUUGGUGGUAUGAGCGACCUUAGGGAGAAGGGCACGACAAUAGAAAAGGCCUUGUGUUUCAUCUGCUAUAGCUUCUCAUUGGAAAACAGUUCAGGACUUCUCUGUAGAGACCAAUGCUGUCAAACCUUAUAGAGCAUUGCAUUGAAAACAUUACUCGUCCAUUUAAAUUGCUUAUGAGUCAAGACUUGCUGGGCUCUGUUUAUAUCAUCUGGUACAUCUUUAUUGAACAUCUAUCAAAAAACAUCCUUACAGUGACCACCAAGAGAAUGUUGGUAGAUAUGUUGUGGUGGUUGUUUAGUCGUUUAGUCGUGCCCGACUCUUUGGGACCCCAUGGACCAGAGCACGCCAGGCACUCCUGUCUUCCACUGCCUCCCGCAGUUUGGUCAGACUCAUGUUCGUAGCUUCAAGAACACUGUCCAACCAUCUUGUCCUCUGCCGUCCCAUCCUCCUUGUGCCCUCCAUCUUUUCCAACAUCAGGGUCUUUUCCAGGGAGUUUUCUCUUCUCAUAAGGUGGCCAAAGUAUUGGAGCCUCAGCUUCAGGAUCUGUCCUUCCAGUGAGCACUCAGGGCUGAUUUCCUUCAGAAUGGAUAGGUUUGAUCUUCUUGCAGUCCAUGGGACUCUCAAGAGUUUCCUCCAGCACCAUAAUUCAAAAGCAUCAAUUCUUUGGCGAUCAGCCUUCUUUAUGGUCUGAUCGCCAAAUAAUUGGUAGAUAUGGAUGAUGCUAACUUCUGACUUGGGACCUUUGGACUUUCUCUAAGUAAUAACAUCUUUUUUGUGUAUCUUAAAAGGUCUUGGGCAGUGAAAAAAUCUCAUUCGUAGUAUGUUUUUAUCUGGUUAAGCUUCUGCACUUUUUGCUUUAUUGUGAUAUGGCAGACAUUUAAUCACAAUGAAAAUGAAGGAAAAGCCCUGCUUUUCAUAACUUACAGCUACGCUGAUGACUUACAGCCCAUCUAAGAUUAGGGGUAGAUGUAUUGUUAUUAAUAGAAUUUCUCAGUUUACCCCUCUCUGUUAUUUCCCCCAGCGAUUACUACCUGAAAUGACAGGUGUUGGCUAUCCAGAAGCUGUGGGUGGAAUGCUGUUCAAAGAGAGCCAUAUAUGGGGCUCAACUAGGUGUGUUGAGGCAAAUAACGUUUUCUGGGGAAGAGACUAGCCCUGUUACGCUAAUAUCACUGGAGAGAGGAAGGGCAACAGAAAGUGAUUUAGAAGAAAACACUGUCAAAGAAAUGAAUUGGGCAGGGUUGAGUAUUUGGGGGGGGGUCAAGAACUGGGAAGGAGAGACGUGUCUAUAUGGUGCUGUAAGACUGUGUAUGGAAGCAGUUGGUUGGGAAGGUGGCAGGGUAGAGAAUGUAUGCAUAAUAAAGAUAUGGGGAGGGGGAUGAGGCAAGGAAUGGGGCUGUUGUUGUUUAGUCGUUUAGUCAUGUCCAACUCUUCGUGACCCCAUGGACCAGAGCACGCCAGGCACUCCUGUCUUCCACUGCCUCCCACAGUUUGGUCAGACUCAUGUUCGUAGCUUCGAGUACACUGUCCAACCAUCUCGUCCUCUGUCGUCCCCUUCUCCUUGUGCCCUCCAUCUUUCCCAACAUCAGGGUCUUUUCCAGGGAGGCUUCUCUUCUUUGGUGAUCAGCCUUCUUUAUGGUCCAGCUCUCACUUCCAUACAUCACUACUUAGGAAACCAUAGCUUUAACUAUAUGGACCUUUGUCGGCAAGGUGAUAUCUCUGCUUUUUAAGAUGCUUUCUAGGUUUGUCAUCGCUUUUAUCCCAAGCGAUGCUAGAGAUGUGAAGGAGAAAACCUCAAAAAAUUCGGGGGGCGGGGGGCGG
Molecule: non-coding RNA, 7390 nt
Organism: Zootoca vivipara (common lizard)
Lineage: Eukaryota; Metazoa; Chordata; Lepidosauria; Squamata; Lacertidae
Source: RefSeq, a predicted model, not a curated record